GUGAGAGCAAGCAAUUACACUGGAGAGAUGUCGAAAUCCAUUGUGGGUGCAAUACUACUUCAGAUGGAUUGACAUGAGGAUGUUAGCUUCUUGCUAGCUGAAUACCAGUGCUCUCAGAACCAUGUUGUGGAGUUGAUGAUAACAUUAUUUGAAGCUGCUGUAUGGGUGAGAUGAGGAUCUACUGUUCCAUGUGGGGUUAGGGUAUCACGUGGACAGUGUGUUUAAAGCAGAGCCACUACCGUUUAUGCAUUUCACUUUGUCCUUAUUGUACUCAGAUAGUUUUUAUGCACUUUACUCACAG
This is a long non-coding RNA of Coregonus clupeaformis (lake whitefish), 301 nucleotides long. RefSeq lists it as uncharacterized. The record is from RefSeq and is a predicted model, not a curated record. Lineage: Eukaryota; Metazoa; Chordata; Actinopteri; Salmoniformes; Salmonidae. The transcript is spliced from 4 exons.